AUUUAAAUAGCUUAAAAUGUAGAGCAUAACGUUGAAGAUGUUAAAGUGAUAAUUGUAUCUUUAAAUG
This 67-nucleotide transfer RNA is filed under the name Stoloteuthis sp. GS-2021. Its description in RNAcentral is "tRNA-Phe". It matches the Rfam family "tRNA". Rfam says of the family: Transfer RNA (tRNA) molecules are approximately 80 nucleotides in length. Their secondary structure includes four short double-helical elements and three loops (D, anti-codon, and T loops). The record is from RNAcentral. Lineage: Eukaryota; Metazoa; Mollusca; Cephalopoda; Sepiida; Sepiolidae.